This 498-nucleotide ribosomal RNA is filed under the name uncultured bacterium. RNAcentral describes it as "partial 16S ribosomal RNA". It matches the Rfam family "Bacterial small subunit ribosomal RNA", at positions 28 to 507 of the family's 1533-position model. The record is from RNAcentral.
GACGAACGCUGGCGGCGUGCCUAAUACAUGCAAGUCGAACGAGAGCGCCCGGUGCUUGCACUGGUCAAUCUAGUGGCGAACGGGUGAGUAACACGUGGGUAACCUGCCCAUCAGAGGGGGAUAACAUCCGGAAACGGAUGCUAAAACCGCAUCGGACUUCGAACCGCAUGGUUCGAAGAGGAAAAGAGGCGCAAGCUUCUGCUGGUGGCGGGACCCGCGGUGCAUUAGCUAGUUGGAGAGGUAACGGCUCACCAAGGCCGCGAUGCAUAGCCGAUCUGAGAGGGUGAUCGGCCACACUGGAACUGAGACACGGCCCAGACUCCUACGGGAGGCAGCAGUAGGGAAUAUUGCGCAAUGGGCGCAAGCCUGACGCAGCAACGCCGCGUGAGUGAAGAAGGUCUUCGGAUCGUAAAACUCUGUUGUUAGGGAAGAAAAAGUGCUAGAGUAAAUGUUGGUGUCUUGACGGUACCUAAAGAGAAAGCAACGGCUAACUACGUG